AGAGUUUGAUCAUGGCUCAGAGCGAACGCUGGCGGCAGGCUUAACACAUGCAAGUCGAGCGGGCGUAGCAAUACGUCAGCGGCAGACGGGUGAGUAACGCGUGGGAACGUACCUUUUGGUUCGGAACAACACAGGGGAAACUUGUGCUAAUACCGGAUAAGCCCUUACGGGGAAAGAUUUAUCGCCGAAAGAUCGGCCCGCGUCUGAUUAGCUAGUUGGUGAGGUAACGGCUCACCAAGGCGACGAUCAGUAGCUGGUCUGAGAGGAUGAUCAGCCACAUUGGGACUGAGACACGGCCCAAACUCCUACGGGAGGCAGCAGUGGGGAAUAUUGGACAAUGGGCGCAAGCCUGAUCCAGCCAUGCCGCGUGAGUGAUGAAGGCCCUAGGGUUGUAAAGCUCUUUUGUGCGGGAAGAUAAUGACGGUACCGCAAGAAUAAGCCCCGGCUAACUUCGUGCCAGCAGCCGCGGUAAUACGAAGGGGGCUAGCGUUGCUCGGAAUCACUGGGCGUAAAGGGUGCGUAGGCGGGUCUUUAAGUCAGGGGUGAAAUCCUGGAGCUCAACUCCAGAACUGCCUUUGAUACUGAGGAUCUUGAGUUCGGGAGAGGUGAGUGGAACUGCGAGUGUAGAGGUGAAAUUCGUAGAUAUUCGCAAGAACACCAGUGGCGAAGGCGGCUCACUGGCCCGAUACUGACGCUGAGGCACGAAAGCGUGGGGAGCAAACAGGAUUAGAUACCCUAGUAGUCC
This 745-nucleotide ribosomal RNA is filed under the name uncultured bacterium. RNAcentral's name for it is "bacterial SSU rRNA". It matches the Rfam family "Bacterial small subunit ribosomal RNA", at positions 8 to 796 of the family's 1533-position model. The record is from RNAcentral.